RNAcentral lists this long non-coding RNA (1588 nucleotides) under Solanum tuberosum (potato). Its description in RNAcentral is "long non-coding RNA (STUB_LNC007919)". Lineage: Eukaryota; Viridiplantae; Streptophyta; Magnoliopsida; Solanales; Solanaceae. The record is from RNAcentral.
GAAACCUUAGUUACACUCGUAGAAUUAGUUCUACGGUAAAGGAUGCCAUGAAAAUGUUGGAGUAGAAAAGCAUGUCGGAUGGUAUCCCUAUAGAGGCUCGGAAGCUCUUGAAGUGGUUGUAGUAGUAUGGCAACAAAAAUUAUAAAUGUACAUUAAAUGUGGAAAGUAAGCACAUACAACAUUUUCAAAAUUAUAAAGACUUUUGAAACUUGUGGCAUCAAACAUGCCAUCACAUCUGUGUGGCUACAAAAGCAUAUCAUUUAAAGUAAAAUAGGAUGCCUAAAGUAAAUCGUUUCCAAAUAUAGAAAGAAAGGUGUUAUUUUUCAAAUAGACUAAAAUGAAAAUGAUAUCAGAUAAAAUGGAAUAAAGAGAGUAAGAACAAAGAAGAUUUUCAAAGUUUUGCAAACUGUCAUGGUAUCAAACUUAUGAGUCGUACAAGAAAAAAGCAAAGAUAAAGAGACAAUACGAAGGGUGACAGAUGGAUAGUUUUGAUAUUGGCUGUAGAUCCACAAGAAACUAAAUUUUUGCUAUAAAGAUAGAUGAAAACUUAUAGAGAAAGAAAGAAGGAUCUUCAAAUGGUAUUAGCAUCAAGAAAUAGUUUGUCAAUGGAUGCUUGAGAAGAAAGAAAUUCAUAUCAAAUAUAUAAUUUCAUAAAACACAUGUACAAAAGAGCAGUCACAAGUGAAGGAUCAAUAUAAGGAGAUAUUAAGGAGUUUGCCAUUACUGUAGGUGUAUACUAGGGACUUGGCUCAAAUCUAUACUUGUUACCUAAAUAGGGUGAGGUAACCAAUAAUAUGAACGAUAAGAUUCCACGGUGAAAUGCUAUUUUCAUAUGAGAUUGAGUCAACGGAAGAAACUGGUGAGAAACUCAACCAAAAGUUGGAAUUGUCGAGAAGCACUUUGAGGAGAAAGGUUCUUAGGACAACGAAAAGUAAGACAUAGGUGUAGGUUCUUUUCAUUUGGUACAAGGUUCUUAGGACCUAAGUUGCACGGACUCUUCACUUUCGUUGCCGCACCCGUCUCGGAUUCUCCAAAAAUACACUAGUUUUGGAGAAUCCAACACGCACAUGCUGACAUUUUUGAAGAGUCCGAGCAACAUAGCUUAGGACAACUAAAAGUAAGACAUAGGCGUAGGUUCUUUUCAUUGGUACAAGGUUCUUAGGACCUAAGUUGCACGGACGUCUUCGACUUUCGUUGCCGGCACCCGGUCUCGGAUUCUCCAAAAAUACACUACUUUUUGGAGAAUCCAACACGCACAUGCUGACAUUUUUUGAAGAGUCCGAGCAACAUAGCUUAGGACAACUAAAAGUAAGACAUAGGUGUAGGUUCUUUUCAUUUGGUAUACGGCUUGUAUACGGGGUUCUCCCAAUCAAGUUAUUUACUUUAUCAAAAAAAUCUAAAAGUAAUAUGCCGCAAGUUUAGCUCCCCAUAAGAAUAACAAAGGUAUAGUGAAAUUAAACAGGAUUAUGAUGCAUAUUUGUAUACAAUUCAAAUAUAUAAGCUCAGCCUUCCAAGAGAAUAGCAUGAUAGAAAAGAUGUAACACACGAAUUAGAAGAUGAUAGCUAAAACAGACAAGUGCUUACUUAG